This 217-nucleotide ribosomal RNA is filed under the name uncultured bacterium. RNAcentral's name for it is "partial 16S ribosomal RNA". It matches the Rfam family "Bacterial small subunit ribosomal RNA", at positions 524 to 736 of the family's 1533-position model. The record is from RNAcentral.
UACGGAGGGGGCUAGCGUUUGUUCGGAAUUACUGGGCGUAAAGCGCACGUAGGCGGCUUUGUAAAGUUAGGAGGUGAAAGCCCGGGGCUCAACUCCGGAAUUGCCUUUAAGACUGCAUCGCUCGAAUUGUGGAGAGGUAAGUGGAAUUCCGAAGUGUAGAGGUGAAAUUCGUAGAUAUUCGGAAGAGCACCAGUGGCGAAGGCGACUUACUGGACAC